GGGGAAGUAGCUCAAUGGUAGAGCACAUAAUCAUAUCAAUUGUUUGGUACAAUUUCGAUAGUAUUGUUUCAUGCAGAAACAAGGAUCGAGGUUCGAAUCCUCGCUUCUCCA
This 111-nucleotide transfer RNA is filed under the name Daucus carota subsp. sativus. RNAcentral's name for it is "tRNA trnX-cat". It matches the Rfam family "tRNA". From Rfam's summary of the family: Transfer RNA (tRNA) molecules are approximately 80 nucleotides in length. Their secondary structure includes four short double-helical elements and three loops (D, anti-codon, and T loops). Lineage: Eukaryota; Viridiplantae; Streptophyta; Magnoliopsida; Apiales; Apiaceae. The record is from Rfam by way of RNAcentral.